AGCCGCGGUAAUACGGAGGGUGCGAGCGUUAAUCGGAAUUACUGGGCGUAAAGCGCAUGCAGGCGGCCUGUUAAGUCAGAUGUGAAAGCCCCGGGGCUUAAACCUCGGAAUUGCAUUUUAAAACUGGCAGGCUAGAGUCUUGUAGAGGGGGUAGAAUUUCAGGUGUAGCGGUGAAAUGCGUAGAGAUCUGAAGGAAUACCAGUGGCGAAGGCCGGCCCCCCUGGACAAAGACUGACGCUCAGAUGCGAAAGCGUGGGGAGCAAACAGGAUUAGAUACCCCUAGUAG
Molecule: ribosomal RNA, 286 nt
Filed under: uncultured bacterium
Lineage: Bacteria
Description: partial 16S ribosomal RNA
Rfam family: Bacterial small subunit ribosomal RNA
Source: RNAcentral